GAAAGCUUGCUUUCUUGCUGACGAGUGGCGGACGGGUGAGUAAUGCUUGGGAAUCUGGCUUACGGAGGGGGAUAACUGCGGGAAACUGCAGCUAAUACCGCGUAAUAUCUUAGGAUUAAAGGGGGCGUUUGCUCUUGCCGUGAGAUGAGCCCAAGUGGGAUUAGGUAGUUGGUGAGGUAAUGGCUCACCAAGCCUGCGAUCUCUAGCUGGUCUGAGAGGAUGGCCAGCCACACCGGGACUGAGACACGGCCCGGACUCCUACGGGAGGCAGCAGUGGGGAAUAUUGCGCAAUGGGGGGAACCCUGACGCAGCCAUGCCGCGUGAAUGAAGAAGGCCUUCGGGUUGUAAAGUUCUUUCGGUGACGAGGAAGGUACUUAGGUUAAUACCCUAAGUAAUUGACGUUAAUCACAGAAGAAGCACCGGCUAACUCCGUGCCAGCAGCCGCGGUAAUACGGAGGGUGCGAGCGUUAAUCGGAAUAACUGGGCGUAAAGGGCACGCAGGCGGAUUUUUAAGUGAGGUGUGAAAGCCCCGGGCUUAACCUGGGAAUUGCAUUUCAGACUGGGAAUCUAGAGUACUUUAGGGAGGGGUAGAAUUCCACGUGUAGCGGUGAAAUGCGUAGAGAUGUGGAGGAAUACCGAAGGCGAAGGCAGCCC
RNAcentral lists this ribosomal RNA (654 nucleotides) under uncultured Gammaproteobacteria bacterium. RNAcentral describes it as "bacterial SSU rRNA". It matches the Rfam family "Bacterial small subunit ribosomal RNA", at positions 74 to 727 of the family's 1533-position model. The record is from RNAcentral. Lineage: Bacteria; Pseudomonadati; Pseudomonadota; Gammaproteobacteria.